GACGUAGGGGGCCAGCGUUGUUCGGAAUUACUGGGUGUAAAGGGUUCGUAGGCGGUGUGGCAAGUCGGGAGUGAAAUCUCUGGGCUCAACUCAGAGACUGCUUCCGAAACUGCUGUGCUGGAGUGUGGGAGAGGCGCGUGGAAUUGCAGGUGUAGCGGUGAAAUGCGUAGAUAUCUGCAGGAACACCCGUGGCGAAAGCGGCGCGCUGGACCACUACUGACGCUGAGGAACGAAAGCUAGGGAGCAAACAGG
Molecule: ribosomal RNA, 252 nt
Filed under: uncultured bacterium
Lineage: Bacteria
Description: partial 16S ribosomal RNA
Rfam family: Bacterial small subunit ribosomal RNA
Source: RNAcentral